This 98-nucleotide unclassified non-coding RNA is filed under the name Pseudolactococcus piscium MKFS47. Its description in RNAcentral is "Lactococcus piscium MKFS47 Alpha_RBS". The record is from RNAcentral. Lineage: Bacteria; Bacillati; Bacillota; Bacilli; Lactobacillales; Streptococcaceae.
UAUGGUAAUUUGUCCUGCCAAUCCAAAACACAAACAACGUCAGGGAUAGAAAGGAAACAUAAAGAAUGGCUCGUAUUGCUGGAGUUGAUAUUCCAAAC